Molecule: ribosomal RNA, 262 nt
Filed under: uncultured bacterium
Lineage: Bacteria
Description: partial 16S ribosomal RNA
Rfam family: Bacterial small subunit ribosomal RNA
Source: RNAcentral
CAAAGUGAAGCAGCCUCGUGAGAGUGAGCCAACCACAAAAAAACCGUACCCAGUUCGGAUUGUAGUCUGCAACCCGACUACAUGAAGCUGGAAUCGCUAGUAAUCGCAGAUCAGAAUGCUGCGGUGAAUACGUUCCCGGGUCUUGUACACACCGCCCGUCACACCAUGGGAGUCGGAAAUGCCCGAAGCCAGUGACCCAACCUUAAGGAGGGAGCUGUCGAAGGUGGAGCCGAUAACUGGGGUGAAGUCGUAACAAGGUACC